AGCUAGCGGUAAACAUGCAUGGUGCGUCCGCACUAUGUACGUUUACUGCUAGAUGU
Molecule: microRNA precursor, 56 nt
Organism: Gadus morhua (Atlantic cod)
Lineage: Eukaryota; Metazoa; Chordata; Actinopteri; Gadiformes; Gadidae
Source: Ensembl